AUAAGAGAUUAGAGUUUUCGGUUCGGCCGGACGAAACACAGGUGCUGCAUGGCUGUCGUCAGCUCGAGUCGUGAGAUGUUGGGUUAAGUCCCGCAACGAGCGCAACCCUCACUUUUAGUUGCCAUCAUUAAGUUGGGCACUCUGAAAGAACUUCCAGUGAUAAGCUGGAGGAAGGUGGGGAUGACGUCAAGUCCUCAUGGCCCUUACGUGUUGGGCUACACACGUGCUACAAUGGCAUCUACAACAGGAAGCAAAACGGCAACGUUAAGCAAAUCCCGAAAAGAUGCCUCAGUUCGGAUUGCACUCUGCAACUCGAGUGCAUGAAGCUGGAAUUACUAGUAAUCGUGGAUCAGCGUGCCACGGUGAAUGCGUUCCCGGGUCUUGUACACACCGCCCGUCACACCAUGGGAGUUGGUUCUACCUUAAGGCAAGGUUUUAAACCCUUGACCACGGUAUAGUCAGCGACUGGGGUGAAGUCGUAACAAGGUAACCGUA
This 495-nucleotide ribosomal RNA is filed under the name uncultured bacterium. RNAcentral describes it as "bacterial SSU rRNA". It matches the Rfam family "Bacterial small subunit ribosomal RNA", at positions 999 to 1504 of the family's 1533-position model. The record is from RNAcentral.